GACGAACGCUGGCGGCGUGCUUAACACAUGCAAGUCGAACGGAAAGGCCCUGCUUUUGUGGGGUGCUCGAGUGGCGAACGGGUGAGUAACACGUGAGUAACCUGCCCUUGACUUUGGGAUAACUUCAGGAAACUGGGGCUAAUACCGGAUAGGAGCUCCUGCUGCAUGGUGGGGGUUGGAAAGUUUCGGCGGUUGGGGAUGGACUCGCGGCUUAUCAGCUUGUUGGUGGGGUAGUGGCUUACCAAGGCUUUGACGGGUAGCCGGCCUGAGAGGGUGACCGGCCACAUGGGGACUGAGAGACGGACGAGACUCCUACGGGAGGCAGGAGGGGGGAAUAUUGCAGAAGGGGCGGAAGGGUGAUGCAGGAACGCCGCGUGCGGGAUGAGGGCCUUCGGGUUGAAAACCGCUUGCGCAUGUGACGAAGGGUGAGUGACGGUAAUGGGAAAAAAAGCACGGGCUAACUACG
This 466-nucleotide ribosomal RNA is filed under the name uncultured bacterium. Its description in RNAcentral is "partial 16S ribosomal RNA". It matches the Rfam family "Bacterial small subunit ribosomal RNA", at positions 28 to 505 of the family's 1533-position model. The record is from RNAcentral.